Molecule: long non-coding RNA, 1731 nt
Filed under: Equus asinus (donkey)
Lineage: Eukaryota; Metazoa; Chordata; Mammalia; Perissodactyla; Equidae
Description: lncRNA (ENSEASG00005023689.1)
Source: RNAcentral
CCCCAGCACGUAGUUGUAUAUUCUAGCUGUAGGUCCCUCUGGUUGUGCUAUGCGGGACGCUGCCUCAGCAUGGCCUGAUGAGCGGUGCCAUGUCCGCGCCUAGACCCAGACCGACGAAACCCUGGGCCAGCUAAGUGGAGCUCGUGAACCCAACCACUCGGCCAUGGUGCCAGCCUACCCACUAGCUGUCUUUUAAGGAAGCUAUAAAAGGAGGAGGCAGACUGUGGCAAAGAUCAGAUGGAGGAGAAAGAGGCAGGGGAGGGCAAAGGAGGGAGGAUUUGGUGCCAGCUGUGGAAAUCGGGGAGGCCUUCAUGGGGAAGGUGGCAUUUGAUCUGUACUUUGAGGACAUGUGGUAUUUCACCAUAUGUGGAGUAUGUGGAUAUGUGGGUAUGUGGGUAUGUGGGUAUGUGAGUAGGAGGGAAGGAAGGAGCAUGGCCCGUGCCCCCUUCACUGUCCAGCCUGUCUCUGCUGCCCCUGCUUUCUCCUGUCCUUCUUCCUCAUUCCAGUCAGAGUGACUCUCCACCUCCUGAAUCUCCCUCCAGGAGAAGGCUGUGGCUGGUCAGCUUCCCGCUUCUGACUGAUCAUCCCUUCUGGCCAUUUCCCUGGGUUUUUUUUCGCUCUCCCACUUUACACCCUGAACCCUACUAUUGUUACUGAACGGGGUUUGUUUUGCCCGCUGCACAAUUAUGCCAAUUACCAAGAUGACAUAUUUGCAGCAGAAAGAGGGUUUAUUCACAGGACAGCCAGGUGAGGUGACAGGAGAACCAGUCUCAAAUCUGCCUCCCCCCAAAAAUGGGGGUUAGGGCUGUUUAUGGGAUAAGGGGGCAGAGUAGUCUAAAGUGUGAGAAUAGAUGAUUGGAGGAGAGGAGAAGUGAGGUAACAGAUGACCUGUGCAAGCAUAGUCAAACUUCAUGGCUCCUCAUAGGACGCAUGUUCACAAAAUGUUGGCAUUAGCAUGAUCUGAGGGUGGAGUUUUUGGCCCCUUGAUGUCAAAGGGUCACCUAUUGGUAAUCCACACAGGCCCAGUUGAUGAGUCAGUGGUCUUAAGCAGCCUGAACUGGACAAGGGGUCAACUCUCAGUUCCUGAAAAACGCAAGCACCUAUUACCGUGGUGACCCAAGCAUCAGAGAUGUUAUCUAUAGGGUUUUGGUCCUAUCUGCCACUUAACAGCUGCAGAUUCUUCAAGCCAUCCACCUGCCAUUGCAGUCAGGGAGCCUCUGGCAGCCACCUCUGCAUUCACAGUCAACCAUAAUGUCUCUGUUUCUCUGUAUUUUACCAUAAGAACUUCAGAGUAAGCCCUCGUAUGUGUAUGUUUUAAGUCCAUCAGUUUUUUUUUUCAAAUCAGUUUUAAUAAAACAAUGUGCCAGCCCCUGGACUAGGCAGUCUGAGUGACCUGUGGGCUUGGGCAUUCCUGGGCACUGGGUUCCUGCACUUAGAAAUUACUAGACAAUGUGCUCUGUUCUGCUUGUCAUGAGCUUCUGGGGCCUUUCUGCCAUUUCCUGGUCACCUCCAGGUGGACCCAGAGGAAGUGUUUCUAGGAUGAGCUCAGAAAGGGCUGCCCCCAGGUACCCCAGGUAAAUGCAGAUGUUUAUUGGAUUCUCCUGGGUGAAACGGGGUGGGGAAUGUCUAAUAGGAGGAGGUCCUGAGUCACAGAGGAAUCAUUUCUUCACCUCAUUUGUAUUGUUAUGACUCUUCUCACAGCUGGAAAUUUUUUUUUUUUUUUUUGCUUAG